This 440-nucleotide ribosomal RNA is filed under the name uncultured bacterium. Its description in RNAcentral is "partial 16S ribosomal RNA". It matches the Rfam family "Bacterial small subunit ribosomal RNA", at positions 338 to 795 of the family's 1533-position model. The record is from RNAcentral.
CCUACGGGAGGCAGCAGUGAGGAAUAUUGCACAAUGGGGGAAAGUCUGAAGCAGCGACGCCGCGUGAGUGAAGACGUAUUUCGGGAUGUAAAGCUCUAUCAGCAGGGAAGAAAAUGACGGUACCUGAGUAAGAAGCCCCGGCUAACUACGUGCCAGCAGCGCCGGUAAUACGCAGGGGGCAAGCGUUAUCCGGAUUUAAUGGGUGUAAAGGGAACUUAGACGGCAGCACAAGUCUGGAGUGAAAUGCCGGGGAUUAACCCCGGAACUGCUUUUGAAACUGUGCAGCUAGAGUGCAGGAGAGGUAAGUGGAAUUCCUAGUGUAGCGGUGAAAUGCGUAGAUAUGAGGAGGAACACCAGUUGCGAAGGCGGCUUACUGGACUGUAACUGACGUUGAGGCUCGAAAGCGUGGGGAGCAAACAGGAUUAGAUACCCCGGUAGUC